UGAGGAAUAUUGGUCAAUGGGCGGGGAGCCUGAACCAGCCAAGUCGCGUGAGGGAAGACGGUCCUAUGGAUUGUAAACCUCUUUUGUCGGGGAGCAAAGAGGCCACGUGUGGU
RNAcentral lists this ribosomal RNA (113 nucleotides) under uncultured bacterium. RNAcentral describes it as "partial 16S ribosomal RNA". It matches the Rfam family "Bacterial small subunit ribosomal RNA", at positions 355 to 465 of the family's 1533-position model. The record is from RNAcentral.